GUCGUGGGCGUAGGAAAUUUGAGAGGAGCUGUCCUUAGUACGAGAGGACCGGGAUGGACAUACCUCUGGUGUACCAGUUGUCGUGCCAACGGCAUAGCUGGGUAGCUAUGUGUGGACGGGAUAAGUGCUGAAAGCAUCUAAGCAUGAAGCCCCCCUCAAGAUGAGAUUUCCCAACUUCGGUUAUAAGAUCCCUCAAAGAUGAUGAGGUUAAUAGGUUCGAGGUGGAAGCAUGGUGACAUGUGGAGCUGACGAAUACUAAUCGAUCGAAGACUUAAUCAAAA
Molecule: ribosomal RNA, 281 nt
Filed under: Staphylococcus aureus
Lineage: Bacteria; Bacillati; Bacillota; Bacilli; Caryophanales; Staphylococcaceae
Description: partial 23S ribosomal RNA
Rfam family: Bacterial large subunit ribosomal RNA
Source: RNAcentral